This is an RNA transcript of Abrus precatorius (Indian licorice), 3194 nucleotides long. It is a transcript of the gene named probable ADP-ribosylation factor GTPase-activating protein AGD8, with no coding region annotated. NCBI's taxonomy places the organism in Eukaryota, Viridiplantae, Streptophyta, Magnoliopsida, Fabales, Fabaceae. The record is from RefSeq and is a predicted model, not a curated record. The transcript has 7 exons.
CUCUGCAGGGCAGUUUCGUCAUUUCAAUUUUCGUUUCGUUUUCCUGAUAAAAAGCUCCUUUUUAAGACGAGGGAUAACCGAGGUAGAUAAAUAUAAAAACACAAACGCACAGAGAACAAUAUUUGCGGUUCUGCCUGCAAAUUUUUCUUACCCCCAAUCUAUAUUGCUCAGGUGGUGUUCCUGUUCCCCCCAGCACCCCUGAGAUUCAUUUGUUUAAAGCUAAAAAAGAAAAAAAAAAGUUCUAAAUCUAAAUUCCAUUUCCAUUUCCGUUUCCGUUUUACCUUCGUUUCGUUUUCGUUUUCGGUUUUGAUCUUCUAAUGGCGUCUGAGGGCUUCACCGACAAGAACACUGUGUUCAGGAAACUCAAGGCCAAGUCUGAAAAUAAGAUGUGUUUCGAAUGCAAUGCGAAGAACCCUACCUGGGCGUCUGUCACGUAUGGGAUCUUCAUCUGCAUCGAUUGCUCCGCCGUUCAUCGCAGUCUCGGGGUGCACAUCAGCUUCGUGAGGUCUACGAAUUUAGACUCAUGGAGUCCUGAGCAACUAAAAAUGAUGAGUUUUGGAGGAAACAAUCGUGCACAGGUUUUCUUUAAGCAACAUGGUUGGACUGAGGGUGGUAAAAUAGAGGCAAAGUAUACAUCAAGAGCUGCUGAAUUGUAUAGGCAAAUUCUUUCAAAGGAAGUAGCUAAAAGUAUGGCCGAGGAUGGUGGAAGCUUGCCUUCAUCACCUGUUGCUUCACAGUCUUCCCAUGGGGCUAAUGGACUGCCUGAAGUGAGGACACAUGAAGUACCAAAAGAAAACAGUCUGGAAAAGCCAGAAAAUCCUGAGAGCACUUCACCUAGAGCUUUGCAUACAAUAGUCUCAAGCACUGUCAAGAAACCUAUUGGUGCUAAAAAAACUGGGAAGAGUGGUGGGCUUGGUGCUCGUAAGCUCACUAAAAAGCCAAGUGAGUCACUCUAUGAGCAGAAGCCUGAAGAACCACCUGCUCCAGUUUCAUCCUCAACGAGCAAUUUGUCUGCUGGGCCAUCUCUGACAUCUCGGUUUGAGUAUGUAGAAAAUGUCCAAUCAUCUGAGUUGAAUUCUGGAGGUUCACAUGUAAUUAGUCAUGUGACUCCACCAAAGUCAUCAAGCUUCUUUGCGGACUUCGGAAUGGAUGGUGGCUUUUCAAAGAAAUCUGGGCCAAGCUCCUCAAAAGUGCAAAUUCAGGAAUCUGAUGAAGCAAGAAAGAAGUUCUCGAAUGCUAAAUCUAUUUCUUCAUCCCAAUUUUUUGGAGAUCAGAGCAAGGCUGCAGAUGCGGAUGCUCAAGUUACUUUGUCAAAGUUUUCGGUAUGUGUAUCUUCUUGCUGGAACAUAUAGUGUGAGAAUGCUUUUAUGUAGAUUUUUUAUAUUCAUCCCUUGUAAUGUGGCUCUACUAUGCAGCUUAGAUACCUAAUAUAACAUGGGUACAACUUGAUGCAGAUAUGGGAUAUGAUAAAUUCUUGCAAAUUGAAUAUUUGUGAAGAGGUUUAAGCAUCAUAAUAUAUUUGUUUAUCAGUAAUACAUGACUGUAUUAGUGGAUGGUAAUCACAAUUUACAAAGAAACACUCGUGAUAAAAAAAAAUAGUUGCAUAUCUAUUUUGUCCAUAUUAGAAGAUAUUCCCGCAUAUGAACAUGUCACAAGAAUUGCAUAUUUUUCGAACCCGUGUUAGAAUGUCACAAAAAGCAUCAUUAGUCCUAUUCAAAAUUGGUCUUGGCUCUGUAUAAUUGUCUAUUAUUUGCUAUAAUUUUAAGGAUAUAGAGGAAAAGCAGUGUGUAGUUUUACUCCUGUUUAAAGUAUCUGAUCCUUAUUCCAAGAGUAUUGGUCAAUAAUAUUCUAAAAAGAUAGAAGGGAAAUGGUGGAUAUUCCUUGGAUAUGUAUCUUAAGAGUAUCAUACACACAUCAGUGUCUGAAAAAUCUGAUAUUUGUCCAUUUUUGGAGUAUCUGGGCUUCAUUGAGAAUAAAUUAGAUGGUUUCUAUCAUAUCACAUAUUCUUUUGGUUGGCAGAACUUGUAUUAAAGCAUAAACAUCCAAAGAGUUGUAAUAAUAGCAUGUAGCAACCCAUUCUGUAGCACAAGGCCUUAUUUUCUGCUGCUUUUUUGGUAUGCUUUUAUAAAUUGUUAGGCUAAUUUUCUUUGUUAUUGGUAGAAUAGUAAUGCAUCAAUUACUACUCUUGAAAUUUACCCAAUCUCAUGUUUGAACUUGCUUUUCCGCUUGAGAAUGAAUUUUCUUAGUCUUUUCAACAUAGGUCAGUGUUGGUUGAUUGGAAUGAGUGAGGUAAAGGAAAUUCAAAUUUUCAAAAAGAUUUAGAGAGUAAAAGGAAAGGUGAAUCUAUGUAAAAUUUUUGCAUUUUUGGUUGUUCUAGGCAACCAGAUAAAAAAAGAGACAUGACAUACUAUCUUUCUCUUGUUGACUGUUUAACUGGAACACGCCAAGCUUGUUGUAUGUGGUGGAAUGGCUGAAAGCACAGGAUGUUAACUGUUUUGCACUUUGGGUGGUUCAUUUUGUGAUUUAACUGUAACUAGUCUGAGUGGAGGAUAAUGUCAAUCAUGUGGUAGCAAGAAAAGGGUUCAAAUGCCAUCUCCAGUGCUGAUCUUUUUGGUGACUCAAGAGAUAACUCCAUUGAUCUAACUGCUAGUGACCUCAUCAAUCGUUUAUCUUUCCAGGCACAACAGGAUCUCUCUUCACUUAAGAACAUUGCAGGAGAGACUGGGAAGAAGCUCAGCUCGUUGGCCUCAACAUUGAUGACAGAUCUUCAGGACCGAAUCCUCUAAAACUGUGGUCUGUAUUUAAGAGAAUCUGUGGAGUUCGUCACAAAUACCAGCCAAUUAUGUUUCAAAUGUAAUAGGAGAGUUUUCAAUAUACAAUUCUUUGAGAAAAAAAAUAAGAUACUAUCAUUUUCAGGCUUGUCAUAUAGACUGGUGUCUUUAUUUUGGAUCACAGGUACUGUUUAGAUGUUUGCUAAUAUGUUCUAAAUGUCUUUUUGGAAGUUGAUGCCAGUUUGUCGCGAGUUACUGUCUUACUGUCAUCUUCUAUCAUCCUUUAGUGAAAAGGCUUUCUUCGUUGCAUUUAUAAACCAGUAUCAAAUCUUUAGUUUAUAGUGGUUCAAUGCAUCGUUUUGAUGGAACACGAAUUUAAAUGUAAUAAUAAUUCUGAGAAAAAUUUAUGUAAAUUUAUGACUU